CAUGCAAGUCGAGCGGGGAAGAGUAGCUUGCUACUUGACCUAGCGGCGGACGGGUGAGUAAUGCUUAGGAAUCUGCCUAUUAGUGGGGGACAACAUCUCGAAAGGGAUGCUAAUACCGCAUACGUCCUACGGGAGAAAGCAGGGGACCUUCGGGCCUUGCGCUAAUAGAUGAGCCUAAGUCGGAUUAGCUAGUUGGUGGGGUAAAGGCCUACCAAGGCGACGAUCUGUAGCGGGUCUGAGAGGAUGAUCCGCCACACUGGGACUGAGACACGGCCCAGACUCCUACGGGAGGCAGCAGUGGGGAAUAUUGGACAAUGGGGGGAACCCUGAUCCAGCCAUGCCGCGUGUGUGAAGAAGGCCUUUUGGUUGUAAAGCACUUUAAGCGAGGAGGAGGCUACCGAGAUUAAUACUCUUGGAUAGUGGACGUUACUCGCAGAAUAAGCACCGGCUAACUCUGUGCCAGCAGCCGCGGUAAUACAGAGGGUGCAAGCGUUAAUCGGAUUUACUGGGCGUAAAGCGCGCGUAGGUGGCCAAUUAAGUCAAAUGUGAAAUCCCCGAGCUUAACUUGGGAAUUGCAUUCGAUACUGGUUGGCUAGAGUAUGGGAGAGGAUGGUAGAAUUCCAGGUGUAGCGGUGAAAUGCGUAGAGAUCUGGAGGAAUACCGAUGGCGAAGCAGCCAUCUGGCCUAAUACUGACACUGAGGUGCGAAAGCAUGGGGAGCAAACAGGAUUAGAUACCCUGGUAGUCCAUGCCGUAAACGAUGUCUACUAGCCGUUGGGGCCUUUGAGGCUUUAGUGGCGCAGCUAACGCGAUAAGUAGACCGCCUGGGGAGUACGGUCGCAGACUAAAACUCAAAUGAAUUGACGGGGCCCGCACAAGCGGUGGAGCAUGUGG
This 893-nucleotide ribosomal RNA is filed under the name uncultured bacterium. Its description in RNAcentral is "bacterial SSU rRNA". It matches the Rfam family "Bacterial small subunit ribosomal RNA", at positions 54 to 944 of the family's 1533-position model. The record is from RNAcentral.